Molecule: ribosomal RNA, 404 nt
Filed under: uncultured bacterium
Lineage: Bacteria
Description: bacterial SSU rRNA
Rfam family: Bacterial small subunit ribosomal RNA
Source: RNAcentral
UGGGGAAUAUUGGACAAUGGGGGCAACCCUGAUCCAGCAAUGCCGCGUGUGUGAUGAAGGCCCUAGGGUUGUAAAGCACUUUCACUGGUGAAGAUGAUGACGGUAGCCAGAGAAGAAGCCCCGGCUAACUUCGUGCCAGCAGCCGCGGUAAUACGAAGGGGGCGAGCGUUGUUCGGAAUUACUGGGCGUAAAGGGCGCGUAGGCGGUCUUUUAAGUUAGGCGUGAAAGCCCCGGGCUCAACCUGGGAACUGCGCUUAAUACUGGAAGACUAGAAAACGGAAGAGGGUAGUGGAAUUCCCAGUGUAGAGGUGAAAUUCGUAGAUAUUGGGAAGAACACCAGUGGCGAAAGCGGCUACCUGGUCCGAUUUUGACGCUGAGGCGCGAAAGCGUGGGGAGCGAACAGG